GAUCCUCGGCGGAAGGAAAAAGGACGUCUUACCACAGUGAAGUCCUCUUUUUUUCUGUGCUUUACCCAAGUCCACCACUGCGCCACUAGAUGGCAGUGUUGCACCUUUUUGCCAUAAUUUAACAGGCACAAUUCAACU
Thalassophryne amazonica is the source of this 138-nucleotide long non-coding RNA. RefSeq lists it as uncharacterized. NCBI's taxonomy places the organism in Eukaryota, Metazoa, Chordata, Actinopteri, Batrachoidiformes, Batrachoididae. The transcript has 3 exons. The record is from RefSeq and is a predicted model, not a curated record.